UGAGGGUGAAUGUUAAGCCAGGAUGCUGAAGUAAGAAUCAAGAAUCUUUCAGCAACACUGGUGACACUGUGAUGUGAUGCUAUGGGGUGGAGCUUCAGGAAUCUUUAUGAUGUUAAAAUAUCAGAGUACAGAAAGAAUAUUUUCAUUUGCUGAGACCAUUCAUCAUGUUCACCAUUAUAUUCACAUGUCUGUGGCUUUCACUGGGUGACUCCAUGGCAGAUCCAAUAGAGCCACUUGUUAGUCACAACGUUGUAGAUGAAGGUGAUAAUGUUACUCUGUCCUGCAGCUACAAAGGCUUCACUGGAAGCAUAUAUAGUGUGCAAUGGUACAGGCAAUAUCCAAAAUCUAAACCCGACUUCCUUCUUCAUAUUACUCCAAGUGGAGAGCUAAGUCUGAACAUCCCACCACGAAUGUCUGCUAACGUUAAUGGAGAGAAACAAGUGGAUCUGCUCAUUUUCUCCACUGCUGUAUCAGACUCUGCACUAUACUACUGUGCUCUGGCGCCCACAGUGACAGGAAAUCCAACUGCGCUGUACAAAAACUUUGACACAGUUUUGUUAUAUUGAAAGCAGUUUUGCCAAUAAUUUUGAGGAAUGUACAUGCUAUUUUGG
Non-coding RNA from Ictalurus furcatus (blue catfish), 611 nucleotides. The record is from the annotation of a RefSeq genome assembly. NCBI's taxonomy places the organism in Eukaryota, Metazoa, Chordata, Actinopteri, Siluriformes, Ictaluridae.